AAGACUGUAUUUUCAGGGAUCGUUUCUAUAGUUCGUUCCUAGAGGAGUUUCUCUGAUCAUGUAGAGCACCGGAAACCACAAGCAGGAGGUGUGGCGUCCUUUCCAGAGUGUGAAGCCAGCUCUUGGUGUUGCUGCAACUGUCAUUUGCCAUUGAUAAUUGUUCUUGCUUUUCUUCGGGGAAGUAAGAGGGUGAGGAUGCAGGCUGCAUGGU
Molecule: small nucleolar RNA, 211 nt
Filed under: Carlito syrichta (Philippine tarsier)
Lineage: Eukaryota; Metazoa; Chordata; Mammalia; Primates; Tarsiidae
Description: Small nucleolar RNA U3 (ENSTSYG00000035432.1)
Rfam family: Small nucleolar RNA U3
About the family: Small nucleolar RNAs (snoRNAs) are involved in the processing and modification of rRNA in the nucleolus. There are two main classes of snoRNAs: the box C/D class, and the box H/ACA class.
Source: Rfam by way of RNAcentral